UACAGAGGUCUCAAGCGUUGUUCGGAAUCACUGGGCGUAAAGGGUGUGUAGGCGGUGUGCUAAGUCAGAUGUGAAAGCCCGGGGCUCAACCUCGGAACUGCAUCCGAUACUGGCAUGCUAGAGAAUUGGAGAGGAGUCUAGAAUUCACGGUGUAGCAGUGAAAUGCGUAGAUAUCGUGAGGAAUACCAAGUGCGAAGGCAGGACUCUGGACAUUUUUCUGACGCUGAGACACGAAGGCCAGGGGAGCAAACGGG
RNAcentral lists this ribosomal RNA (254 nucleotides) under uncultured bacterium. Its description in RNAcentral is "partial 16S ribosomal RNA". It matches the Rfam family "Bacterial small subunit ribosomal RNA", at positions 524 to 776 of the family's 1533-position model. The record is from RNAcentral.